RNAcentral lists this long non-coding RNA (438 nucleotides) under Volvox carteri. RNAcentral's name for it is "long non-coding RNA (VCAR_LNC001735)". The record is from RNAcentral. Lineage: Eukaryota; Viridiplantae; Chlorophyta; Chlorophyceae; Chlamydomonadales; Volvocaceae.
UUCCCUUGUCACACACGCUUGACCGUGCGCGCUGCUCCCGAGACAGUCUUGACCGUGGUUAUCGUGCGGCGUCCGUCUGAGGCCGGGCAUCGGAUUGGGCUUUAUGACUGAAUGGCCAUGAGGAGGCGAUUGAUGUGUACGAUUCGCGCAGUGUGACAGAUGUUGUGAAGGCUGCGAAAUGAAGGCCAGCCACCAGAGCGCGCGUGCUGGUCCGACCCCACCCGAAACAACUCGCCCAAACCCGCUGAAUCCUUCUACAUUCCACGUCCGUACCUGAUUGGUUUUAGGCACAAGCUGAGCGCUUCCGAAACAGGAAGUGGCGUAAGUCCGGAACCGGCCGCUUGGCAAACCGCUCCGGUCCGCUCCUCCGGUUUCAAGCUGACGGCGUUCCCUGCUUGGCAGUUUGCAGAGGACCCCUUAUCGGCAGAUUGCGUUGCA